This 338-nucleotide unclassified non-coding RNA is filed under the name soil metagenome. RNAcentral describes it as "partial contains 5.8S ribosomal RNA, internal transcribed spacer 2, and large subunit ribosomal RNA". The stretch from base 1 to 120 matches the Rfam family "5.8S ribosomal RNA", at positions 35 to 154 of the family's 154-position model. The record is from RNAcentral.
GAUGAAGAACGCAGCGAAAUGCGAUAAGUAAUGUGAAUUGCAGAAUUCAGUGAAUCAUCGAAUCUUUGAACGCACAUUGCGCCCGCCAGUAUUCUGGCGGGCAUGCCUGUUCGAGCGUCAUUUCAACCAUCAAGCCCCAGGCUUGUGUUGGAGCCCUGCGGCUGCCGCAGCCUCCCAAAACCAGUGGCGGGCUCGCUAUCACACCGAGUGCAGUAGUUUACUCUUCGCUCAGGGCGUGUGGCGGGUGCUAGCCGUAAAACCCCCACUGUAACCCCAAAGGUUGACCUCGGAUCAGGUAGGAAUACCCGCUGAACUUAAGCAUAUCAAUAAGCGGAGGA